CAAAGUGAAGAUGGCGACCGGCGCACGGGUGAGUAACACGUAUCCAACCUGCCCUUUACUCGGGGAUAGCCUUUCGAAAGAAAGAUUAAUACCCGAUGGUAUAAUAAAGCCGCAUGGUUUAAUUAUUAAAGAAUUUCGGUUAUCGAUGGGGAUGCGUUCCAUUAGGCAGUUGGUGAGGUAACGGCUCACCAAACCUUCGAUGGAUAGGGGUUCUGAGAGGAAGGUCCCCCACAUUGGAACUGAGACACGGUCCAA
Molecule: ribosomal RNA, 255 nt
Filed under: uncultured bacterium
Lineage: Bacteria
Description: partial 16S ribosomal RNA
Rfam family: Bacterial small subunit ribosomal RNA
Source: RNAcentral